Molecule: RNA transcript, 2824 nt
Organism: Musa acuminata AAA Group (dessert banana)
Lineage: Eukaryota; Viridiplantae; Streptophyta; Magnoliopsida; Zingiberales; Musaceae
Gene name: serine/threonine-protein kinase STY46-like
Exons: 17
Source: RefSeq, a predicted model, not a curated record
AUUUUAAAAAAAAAAUAUAAAAAUCAGAAUAUUAAAAAUAAUUAAUUUUAAGAAAUAAUUUAUAAUUAACUCAUAUAAUUGUCAGGGAGCAAAAUAAAAUAACAAAAUAUCAGGGGCUAAAAAGAUGAAAUUUCUUCGGGUGGGGGAAUUGUUCGUUCUCGGAAGGAAUGUAUCGAAAGGAAGGAAGCAGAGGGCUUGGACGUGACAUGGCGAUCGUAAGGCUGCUCCUAUCCGAAAAGAAGGGAUAAAAAAAAUCCUUCUUUAGGCCGUCUCUUCGGACUUUCCACUAACGCCGAAACAUUCUGCGCUUUUCUUUUCUCCUCCGCUUCAGUUCCUCCGGUAUCUCCGCCGCUUUGCAGUAUUCCUUGACUGCCGGAGAUCCUUCUUCUUGUUCCCUUUUCAUUCGGAACCCUAGCUUCGGUCCGUGGACAUGGGCGGUUCCGCUUCCGAGUCCUAGCCUCGGAGCUCCAGCCCCGCGACCGACAUGGACGAAGGCGAGGGCGAGAGCUCGUCGCCCGCGAGGCCCCUCGGCGGCCCCUCCCCCCGCGACGCCUUAAGGAACGAAAUCUACGAGCGGCUGCUCGACAGCGGCAACGAGGAGGUCAUAUCCAAUCCCAACCUCCGCGACCUGCUCGACGCCCACCUCAGCCGCUUGCCCCUCAGAUAUGGGCUUGAUCUGAACAUGGAAAGAGUAGAGGACGUGCUAUUGCAUCAGAAGAUUCUUGCAGAUGCUGAGGACCCAGACAAACGACCGAUCUUCCAUGUCCGCUUCAUGAAGGUACAAAAGUGCAUUCAGACCGGUGCAUGUGAGGAUGAUGCCCAGCAACAAUCUGUGAGAAUUGAUUCAAAUGGAAAAGGAUAUAGUGAUAUUGUCCAUGAAGGAGACAUGGUGCCAAAUUUAAGAAACAGAGACCGGGGAAUUGAAUUUGAACCUUGUUCAAAGCUUGAAGAUCUGAAUUUAGAUGUUAAAGAUAUUGCUCAAGAAAUCAGAGAUUCAAAGGAGGUUCAUUCUAUGAGGCACGAUAUCAAGGAUGUCGCGAUUCAUGAGAUAAUAUUUUCAUCAAUUGACAAGCCCAAGCUCCUUAGCCAGUUAUCUGCUUUGCUUGCCGACAUUGGGUUGAACAUCCGUGAAGCUCAUGUUUUUUCAACAACUGAUGGUUAUUCCUUGGACGUGUUUGAAGUUGAUGGUUGGCCAGAAGAGGAAACAGAUGGUUUGCUGAAGGAGCUGGAUGAUGCAGCCAUUGCAUAUAAUGAGGGUUCCUUGUCUGGCGCAUCUCGUUGUUCGUCCACCGAAAAGGUGCUGGGUUCACAAUCAAAGGUUGUUGAUUGGGAAAUUGAUAGAAGAUUUUUGAAGAUGGGAAAAAAGAUUGCACGUGGAUCUUGUGGAGAUUUGUAUCGUGCAACUUACUUGGGUCAGGAUGUUGCGGUGAAGAUUCUUAGAGCUGAUCAGCUAAAUGAAGCUUUGUUGCUGGAAUUUAAUCAAGAAGUAGAUAUUUUAAGGAGAGUUCACCAUAAAAACAUUGUUCACUAUAUAGGUGCAUGUGUGAAGCCUACAGAACUUUGCAUAAUAACAGAAUACAUGACUGGUGGAAACCUUUAUGAUCAUCUACAUAAGCAGCACAUAUCUUUGGAGCUCCCACACUUGCUGAAGUUCUCCAUUGAUAUCUGCAAAGGAAUGGACUAUUUGCACCAAAACAACAUUAUUCAUAGGGAUCUCAAGACAGCAAACCUGCUGUUGGAUGCCAACAGUGUUGUAAAGGUGGGUGACUUUGGUGUGGCUCGGUUUCAGAAUCAAGAGGGAGUCAUGACUGCUGAAACUGGUACAUACAGAUGGAUGGCCCCUGAGGUUAUAAACCAUCAACACUAUGAUAAUAAGGCAGACGUGUUCAGUUUUGCAAUUGUUCUAUGGGAGUUAGCAACAUCAAGGGUUCCAUAUGAUAAUAUGACACCCUUGCAAGCUGCUCUGGGAGUAAGACAGGGCCUACGGCCAGAUAUUCCAAAGGAUAUGCAUCCUAGAUUAGCAGCUUUGAUGCAGAGAUGCUGGGACGAGGUUCCUUCUAAACGACCCUCUUUUGAAGAGAUAACUCAAGAACUCGAGGAACUCUUGCACCAAGUUCAGGGAGACUAAGAAUUUGGAAAUUUGCUUUUCGACAUUUUAUGGGCAACUUCUGGUUAUUUUCUUUGCAAUCAGACGUCAGGUGAUACGAAGUAAGAAUCCAUCGAAGGAUCCCGCAAAUCAAGGAAGUCAAACAGAUCUAAAGAACAAGCUAUGUUUAGGAGCUCUGACGGAGACUAUAUUUCCAGCUUGAACAACACAUCCAUCGUGACAGCAGAUUGUUGAUGUCUCCCAUAAAACACAACUAUCCAUGUAUUAGUUCUGCAUCACAACUGGGAGCAGCUCCAGUGUUAGAAAGCCACGCAAAUGAUAUCAUCCAUCUACCGACCGUGGAUGGAUUUGGAUUUCCAAGGGGGGACGCCCACAGGUGCGAGGUUCGCGUGCGGCGGCCACGACAGCCGACGCCGCUGUGCUACGACCGUAAGCCCUCCCUCACCGCGGCACACGUGACGGUAAGACGCUGAUGGAACGGAACGCGACCGGCCGUCACGUGCCUUGGGUUACUCGCUUUUGCUGUUGAUUUGGGAGUGAGACGAAACAGCGACGAGAGGAAUGCAUUUAUAGACGUAAAAGUGAGAGAAGGAGAGCGUGUCUUUUAUUCGAUCUCUGCACGCAACAACAAAUAAAUAAAUGUUUGACAUUGGAGUAAUGAGCUGUAAAGAGAUGCAUCCAUUGGUCGAAGUAAAAGAAGUAAUAAGCACAGUUUAA